Molecule: non-coding RNA, 21 nt
Filed under: Caenorhabditis elegans
Lineage: Eukaryota; Metazoa; Nematoda; Chromadorea; Rhabditida; Rhabditidae
Source: RNAcentral
UGGUAUUCUGAAUGUUUUUGA